RNAcentral lists this ribosomal RNA (772 nucleotides) under uncultured bacterium. Its description in RNAcentral is "bacterial SSU rRNA". It matches the Rfam family "Bacterial small subunit ribosomal RNA", at positions 53 to 794 of the family's 1533-position model. The record is from RNAcentral.
GCGCACUGGCCCAACUGAUCUGACGUGCUUGCGCUGAAGUGACGAUCGAUUACCAGUGAGCGGCGGACGGGUGAGUAACACGUGGGCAACCUGCCCUGAAGCGGGGGAUAACAUUUGGAAACAGGUGCUAAUACCGCAUAACAACGAAAACCACAUGGUUUUCGUUUCAAAGAUGGUUUCGGCUAUCACUUCAGGAUGGGCCCGCGGUGCAUUAGCUUGUUGGUAGGGUAACGGCCUACCAAGGCAAUGAUGCAUAGCCGAGUUGAGAGACUGAUCGGCCACAAUGGAACUGAGACACGGUCCAUACUCCUACGGGAGGCAGCAGUAGGGAAUCUUCCACAAUGGGCGCAAGCCUGAUGGAGCGACACCGCGUGAGUGAAGAAGGGUUUCGGCUCGUAAAGCUCUGUUGUUGAAGAAGAACGUGCGUGAGAGCAACUGUUCACGCAGUGACGGUAUUCAACCAGAAAGUCACGGCUAACUACGUGCCAGCAGCCGCGGUAAUACGUAGGUGGCAAGCGUUAUCCGGAUUUAUUGGGCGUAAAGCGAGCGCAGGCGGUUGCUUAAGUCUGAUGUGAAAGCCUUCGGCUUAACCGAAGAAGUGCAUCGGAAACUGAGCGACUUGAGUGCAGAAGAGGGCAGUGGAACUCCAUGUGUAGCGGUGGAAUGCGUAGAUAUAUGGAAGAACACCAGUGGCGAAGGCGGCUGUCUGGUCUGCAACUGACGCUGAGGCUCGAAAGCAUGGGUAGCGAACAGGAUUAGAUACCCUGGUAGU